GUCGACGAUGAAGCCCUUCGGGGUGGAUUAGUGGCGAACGGGUGAGUAACACGUGGGCAAUCUGCCCUGCACUCUGGGACAAGCCCUGGAAACGGGGUCUAAUACCGGAUAAUACCUGCCGAGGCAUCUCGGUGGGUUGAAAGCUCCGGCGGUGCAGGAUGAGCCCGCGGCCUAUCAGCUUGUUGGUGGGGUGAUGGCCUACCAAGGCGACGACGGGUAGCCGGCCUGAGAGGGCGACCGGCCACACUGGGACUGAGACACGGCCCAGACUCCUACGGGAGGCAGCAGUGGGGAAUAUUGCACAAUGGGCGAAAGCCUGAUGCAGCGACGCCGCGUGAGGGAUGACGGCCUUCGGGUUGUAAACCUCUUUCAGCAGGGAAGAAGCGAAAGUGACGGUACCUGCAGAAGAAGCGCCGGCUAACUACGUGCCAGCAGCCGCGGUAAUACGUAGGGCGCAAGCGUUGUCCGGAAUUAUUGGGCGUAAAGAGCUCGUACGCGGCUUGUUGCGUCGGAUGUGAAAGCCCGGGGCUUAACCCCGGGUCUGCAUUCGAUACGGGCAGGCUAGAGUGUGGUAGGGGAGAUCG
Molecule: ribosomal RNA, 584 nt
Filed under: bacterium 39-L049640-122-012-G05
Lineage: Bacteria
Description: bacterial SSU rRNA
Rfam family: Bacterial small subunit ribosomal RNA
Source: RNAcentral